GCCCGGAUGGUGAAAUUGGUAGACACGCCAGGUUCAGGGUCUGGUGCUCAAUGGAGCAUGGAGGUUCGAGUCCUCUUCCGGGCA
This 84-nucleotide transfer RNA is filed under the name Sediminispirochaeta smaragdinae DSM 11293. RNAcentral describes it as "tRNA-Leu (CAG) (tRNA-Leu-CAG-1-1)". It matches the Rfam family "tRNA". From Rfam's summary of the family: Transfer RNA (tRNA) molecules are approximately 80 nucleotides in length. Their secondary structure includes four short double-helical elements and three loops (D, anti-codon, and T loops). Lineage: Bacteria; Pseudomonadati; Spirochaetota; Spirochaetia; Spirochaetales; Spirochaetaceae. The record is from Rfam by way of RNAcentral.